This 2788-nucleotide long non-coding RNA is filed under the name Gossypium barbadense (sea-island cotton). RNAcentral describes it as "long non-coding RNA (GBAR_LNC008469)". The record is from RNAcentral. Lineage: Eukaryota; Viridiplantae; Streptophyta; Magnoliopsida; Malvales; Malvaceae.
CGUUACUGAAGCGACACAAGGUGAUCAAGUUCACGCAUACAGAUUCAAGGCUUGCUAAUAACGACCUUCCAAACUCCAUUUAAAGGCUAAGGUGCCGAGCCAAUUACGAGGAUCUCCGGUAUGCGAAAGAGAUAUAGGAUCUCUGAAGGACUUUAGUUGAUAGACUAAAGAGCAAUAAUAACCAAUAUAUUGCUUAAUAAUUGAUUACAAUUAUAUAUUUAAUUUGAUGUAUUUAAUGAUAAAGAAAUCAUUGCAAAAUAUGCAAAAAUAGUAUAAAAUAUAAAUUUAAUAGCUAUAAAAUGAAUUCAAUUGAACAAUGAAAAGACAAUAAAUUCUAAAAUGUAUGUUUAUUUCAUUUAAAACAUUUUUUAUGAAAUAUUUUUAAAAAUCUGCCAAACAAUAGAAAUUUUUUUAUACAAAUUUAUCCAAACACCAAAAAAUAUUAAAUUUUCAAGAAAAAUAAAUUAUUUUCCAAAAAUCAAUUCCCAAAAACCAUUUUCAAUCAAACAAAUAAUCACCAAUUUAAUUCCUACUAAUACUUAAAUUUUAAUAUUCAUUGCUCUAUUUCUAACAUAAAGAAAAUGUUACUAAAAUAUGACAAAACUUUGUUUAUAAAACCAAUAAUAAAUUAAUAAAUAUUGAAACCAUUAAAUGUUGCAGAAGUUAUAUUAAUAUCAUUCAAUUGUAAAUUUUUUUAAAAAUAAAACAAAUAUUUUAAGAAUUAAUAAGAAAUUACCAACAUCAUUCUUUUAGAGUUAAUCCUAUUAUGUAAGCUAUUAUUCAUAAAAUUUAUUUUUAUAUGAAUUUCUUUUAAUCUAGGAUAAAUGAAGAAAAAAAAAUCAUAAAAUUGCAAUAAGGAAACAACUUUUACUUUAAAAAAAAAAAGAAUGGCCCAAGAUAAGGCCCAAACAAGGUGUCCAAAUUUGAGCACUCGUGGCAUUCUUUUGUAGGGUAAACUACAAAAAUAGUUACUUAUGUUUGAAAUUUUAAGUUUUAAUCACUUAUGUUAUUAUUUUGUUACGAAGUGAUCACUCUUCCGUUAAGUUCCGUUAUCUCCCUAACGGUAAUCCUACGUGGCAGUCCAACUAGAUUUUAAGUGCCAACUUGGAUUUCCUAAUGAGAUGAGAAUAGAUUUUUUAUUAAAUAAAUUUAAUUAAUUAAAAAUUUUAAACCCUAGAUCUUAGUUAAAUAACCGUUCAUCUCCCCCUUUUUUUAAUUUUCUUUUUCAAUUGACUAAAAAAGCUAUUAUCAUCAAAUUUUUUUUAUUCACAUACGAAAACAAAAGAGGAUUCAAUGGAGGGUCCAUGUAUGUCUUCUUCACCGAAAAAAUUAUGUUCUAAAACUUAAAAUGAAGUGGUUGUCAACAAAUAAGAAGAUGGUAAUCAUUUUUGUUCCUAAUCAUUGUAUUUUUCCAAUUCUUCACGUUCUUGAAUAAUUAGUUUCUCAAUUCGAUUUUUUCUGAUCUAAAUCGGCUUGUUUGUUCACAAACCCUUUGUGGGUAUCCUUUCUUUUUAUCUAAAAUUCUUUUAGUUGUUAAUAUUCAUAUCAAGAAUUUUAAUUUAGGGUUUUCAUUAAACAAUAAAAAAUCCAAUCUUUGUUUUUCAGUAUUGAAUAAAAGAGAUAGAGGAAUGCAAAGAAGACAUACCUGAACCCUCCAUUGAAUCCAUCCUUAUGAAGCAGUCAAUUUGAUUUCAACUAUUUUGAUUUUAAUAAUAAUUUUAACAAUCAAAUGAAAAAAAAACCAUUGAGAAAAAGAAGAGACUGAAGAAAAAAUAAAAAGAGGAUAUGAACAGAUAUUUUAGUUAAGGUUUAGGUUUAAAAAUUUUAAUUAACUAAAUUUUUUAAUUAAAAAUCUAUUUUCAUCCCAUUUAGAAAUCUAAGUUGGCAUUUAAAAUCUAGUUGGACUGUCACGUAGGAUUACCGUUAGAGAGAUAAUGGAACUUAACGGUAGAGUGAUCACUUCGUAACAAAAUAGUAACAUAAGUGACUAAAACGUAACAUUUCAAACAUAAGUGACUAAAAUGUAACCUGAGGUAAACAAAAGUGACUAUUUUUGUAGAUUACCCUUCUUUAUAUUGAUGGUCUCCCUAAAAUAAUUUCUACUUCGCUGUAAAGAGGUAAUAUGCAUGUGUAUAGAUAUAUUUCAUUUGAGUUGAAUGUGGAUAUGUAUAGAUAAAUAUUAUGUAUGCAUGUACAUAAUGAUAUUCAUAUAACAUGUAUAUAUGUAUGUUGAGGUACUGUCAUGUUGUAUAUGUAGUAACCCAAUUUUACCUUAAAAAUUUUAGAAAACCCUAGCCACCCUACAUCUUUCAGCUGUCGCUCCUUGCCACGUUAGCAAGCACUUCUCCUGAAGACACUCAUGCUCUGAGGUCUAUCACUCUGCCAUCGUUUCACCGAAAUGGCUAAGGGCACACCUUCCCAUUGUCAUUAACAGCCAUGGUAGCAAAGGAGAAAGAAAAGCACAGAAACAAAAAGCAGAACAAAAACAAAAAGAAAAGAAAAAAACGAAAUAAUGUAAUGGCUAUAAAAGCCAAACUAUUGUAAGAUUCAAAAAUCAUCGAAUAAGAUACAUAAAUAACCAAGUUAAAAAAAAGUAGCAUUUUUAUAUCUUUUAUUUUCUAAGCAAAAAAAAAAAAGAGGAAAGAAAUUUUACUUGCAAAAUGUCGUAGCUGUUCUCGUCGUGAGUCCAUUUCCUCCGACUAGAGAAGCCUCAGAACCCCUUAGGGUUUCGUCGAAGGCCUCGUCGGAAAAGGGAGAAACCUUUUAGUUUCUUUUCCUUCAGCCAAGC